AACACUUUUAUUUUACGACAACCUCAGAUGCUCAUGAACUACAGGCCAAAUGUCAAGGUAUUUACUCAUGGAGUUAGAUCCCACUGAGCAUUAGCUGGCAUCCUGCGUCAGAGGGUUGCUUGCAAAAGCUGAAGGCAUGCCACGACCGCUUGAGAUCUCCAGCACCUUGCAAAGCCAUGUGGGUGUUCAGGGUACUGUGAUUAAUCCUAGGAGCACGAACAAAAAGGGGAAAAAAAGAACAGAUUUGGCCCAUAAUCAGAGAGCCAGUUAGGUGCACACAGCUGUGCACAAUACAGAUUGCAGGGUGUCACUGCUGCUAUUGAAUUCAAUAGAAAACUGCUUACUGGCCUAACAAGGACAGAUUUAAUCCUAGACCCUGAAAUAUCUCCACAAACCAGUUAAUUUUCUGUAUAAAAUGUCUAAAUGUAUGCUUUAUCAAGCCACUUUUAUGUUUCGGUGGCCCCUUUAUCUUGUGUCAACCAAAAAUUCAUAAUACCAAUUUUGACUGAAGGCUGGCUUUAAUUACAAUUUCUUUUACAGGUCGCAACUGCUUUUUGUGUCCUGGGAAAUGAGAGCAAUUCUUUCUAUCAUAUUCAGAAAGAAAAUGAAAAGUUUUGCAGAACUCCUCACUCACAGGAAGAUCCGUGGGGUUACACCCCUGGCCCACGUCUCUCCGCUUGUGAAACACGGAGGAAGGAGCUUAUUGACAUGUUCCUUCCCUGGAGCCCCACCUCAGCAGCACGGCUCACCUGGCCAAAGUCUGCAGCAAAGACUCCGUGCAGGAAGGAGAACUUGGUGCCACUGACUCACUUGGUGUCUUCUGCCUUUUCAGCAUCUUCCGAGAGGCUUGGUUCUGCUUCUAAGUCUAUGAAAUUAUGGUCUUUUCCUACUAAAAAAUAAUCCUCUCCACCCAUCCAAAUACUGAGCCCACUAAAAUAUCCUCAGCUAUUUCUCUAAGCGCAUCAAUUUUUUUUCUAACACAAAAUAAAUAUAUUUUCAAAAUCA
RNAcentral lists this long non-coding RNA (1005 nucleotides) under Junco hyemalis (dark-eyed junco). Its description in RNAcentral is "lncRNA (ENSJHYG00000013632.1)". The record is from RNAcentral. Lineage: Eukaryota; Metazoa; Chordata; Aves; Passeriformes; Passerellidae.